GUUGGUACAAAAGCAAUUGCAGUUUUCGACAUAUAAAAGUAAUGGCAAAAACUGCAGUUACUUUUGUAUCAA
RNAcentral lists this microRNA precursor (72 nucleotides) under Nomascus leucogenys (northern white-cheeked gibbon). Its description in RNAcentral is "miRNA (ENSNLEG00000027232.1)". The record is from RNAcentral. Lineage: Eukaryota; Metazoa; Chordata; Mammalia; Primates; Hylobatidae.